Molecule: ribosomal RNA, 253 nt
Filed under: uncultured bacterium
Lineage: Bacteria
Description: partial 16S ribosomal RNA
Rfam family: Bacterial small subunit ribosomal RNA
Source: RNAcentral
UACGUAGGGCGCGAGCGUUGUCCGGAAUUAUUGGGCGUAAAGAGCUCGUAGGCGGCCUGUUGCGUCCGCUGUGAAAUCCCAGGGCUCAACCCUGGGCGUGCAGUGGAUACGGGCAGGCUGGAGGCAGGCAGGGGAGAACGGAAUUCCCGGUGUAGCGGUGAAAUGCGUAGACAUCGGAAGGAACACCGGUGGCGAAAGCGGCGCGCUGGAUCCCUACUGACGCUGAGGCACGAAAGCCAGGGGAGCAAACGGG